CGGACGGGUGAGUAACGCGUGGAAAACCUGCCGUAUACUGGGGGAUAACACUUAGAAAUAGGUGCUAAUACCGCAUAAGCGCACAGCUUCGCAUGAAGCGGUGUGAAAAACUCUGGUGGUAUACGAUGGUUCCGCGUCUGAUUAGCUAGUUGGUGGGGUAAUGGCCUACCAAGGCAACGAUCAGUAGCCGGCCUGAGAGGGUGAACGGCCACAUGGGACUGAGACACGGCCCAAACUCCUACGGGAGGCAGCAG
RNAcentral lists this ribosomal RNA (254 nucleotides) under uncultured bacterium. RNAcentral's name for it is "partial 16S ribosomal RNA". It matches the Rfam family "Bacterial small subunit ribosomal RNA", at positions 99 to 354 of the family's 1533-position model. The record is from RNAcentral.